RNAcentral lists this ribosomal RNA (250 nucleotides) under uncultured bacterium. RNAcentral describes it as "partial 16S ribosomal RNA". It matches the Rfam family "Bacterial small subunit ribosomal RNA", at positions 505 to 754 of the family's 1533-position model. The record is from RNAcentral.
GUGCCAGCCGCCGCGGUAAUACGUAGGGGGCAAGCGUUAUCCGGAUUUAUUGGGCGUAAAGCGCGCGUAGGCGGCUUGUUAAGUCAGGUGUGAAAUCCGGGGGCUCAACCCGCGGCUUGCAUCUGAAACUGGCAGGCUUGAGUCUGGUAGAGGAGUGUGGAAUUCCCAGUGUAGCGGUGAAAUGCGCAGAUAUUGGGAGGAACACCAGUGGCGAAGGCGGCACUCUGGGCCACGACUGACGCUGAGGCGC